Molecule: ribosomal RNA, 189 nt
Filed under: uncultured bacterium
Lineage: Bacteria
Description: partial 16S ribosomal RNA
Rfam family: Bacterial small subunit ribosomal RNA
Source: RNAcentral
CCUACGGGAGGCAGCAGUGAGGAAUAUUGGUCAAUGGGCGCGAGCCUGAACCAGCCAAGUAGCGUGCAGGACGACGGCCCUAUGGGUUGUAAACUGCUUUUAUACGGGGAUAAAGUAUGCCACGUGUGGUUUAUUGCAGGUACCGUAUGAAUAAGGACCGGCUAAUUCCGUGCCAGCAGCCGCGGUAAU